UACGUAGGUGGCAAGCGUUGUCCGGAUUUACUGGGCGUAAAGGGCGCGCAGGCGGCCGAUCAAGUCUGGGGUGAAAUCUCUCGGCUCAACCGAGAGAGGUCUCUGGAAACUGACCGGCUCGAGAGGAGCAGAGGAAAGCGGAAUUCCCGGUGUAGCGGUGAUAUGCGUAGAUAUCGGGAGGAACACCAGUGGCGAAGGCGGCUUUCUGGGCUCUCUCUGACGCUGAGGCGCGAAAGCGUGGGGAGCAAACCGG
Molecule: ribosomal RNA, 253 nt
Filed under: uncultured bacterium
Lineage: Bacteria
Description: partial 16S ribosomal RNA
Rfam family: Bacterial small subunit ribosomal RNA
Source: RNAcentral